RNAcentral lists this transfer RNA (73 nucleotides) under Sus scrofa (pig). It matches the Rfam family "tRNA". Rfam says of the family: Transfer RNA (tRNA) molecules are approximately 80 nucleotides in length. The record is from Rfam by way of RNAcentral. Lineage: Eukaryota; Metazoa; Chordata; Mammalia; Artiodactyla; Suidae.
UCCCUGGUGGCUUAACAGUUAAAGAUCUGGCAUUGUCACUGCUGUGGCUUGGGUUCGAUCCCUGGCCUGGGAA